This 497-nucleotide ribosomal RNA is filed under the name uncultured bacterium. RNAcentral describes it as "partial 16S ribosomal RNA". It matches the Rfam family "Bacterial small subunit ribosomal RNA", at positions 28 to 507 of the family's 1533-position model. The record is from RNAcentral.
GACGAACGCUGGCGGCGUGCCUAAUACAUGCAAGUUGAGCGCUGAAGGUUGGUACUUGUACCGACUGGAUGAGCAGCGAACGGGUGAGUAACGCGUGGGGAAUCUGCCUUUGAGCGGGGGACAACAUUUGGAAACGAAUGCUAAUACCGCAUAAAAACUUUAAACACAAGUUUUAAGUUUGAAAGAUGCAAUUGCAUCACUCAAAGAUGAUCCCGCGUUGUAUUAGCUAGUUGGUGAGGUAAAGGCUCACCAAGGCGAUGAUACAUAGCCGACCUGAGAGGGUGAUCGGCCACAUUGGGACUGAGACACGGCCCAAACUCCUACGGGAGGCAGCAGUAGGGAACCUUCGGCAAUGGACGAAAGUCUGACCGAGCAACGCCGCGUGAGUGAAGAAGGUUUUCGGAUCGUAAAACCCUGUUGGUAGAGAAGAACGUUGGUGAGAGUGGAGAGCUCAUCAAGUGACGGUAACUACCCAGAAAGGGACGGCUAACUACGUG